CCUACGGGUGGCAGCAGUGAGGAAUAUUGGUCAAUGGGCGUAAGCCUGAACCAGCCAAGUCGCGUGAGGGAUGAAGGUUCUAUGGAUCGUAAACCUCUUUUAUAAGGGAAUAAAGUUUGGGACGUGUCCUGUUUUGUAUUUACCUUAUGAAUAAGGAUCGGCUAACUCCGUGCCAGCAGCCGCGGUAAUACGGAGGAUCCGAGCGUUAUCCGGAUUGAUUGGGUUUAAAGGGAGCGUAGGCGGCCUUUUAAGUCAGCGGUGAAAGUCUGUGGCUCAACCAUAGAAGUGCAGUUGAAACUGGGCGGCUAGAGUAUUGUUGAGGCAGGCGGAAGGCGUGGUGUAGCGGUGAAAGGCUUAGAUAUCACGAAGAACACCGAUUGCGAAGGCAGCCCGCCGAGCAAUGACUGACGCUGAGGCACGAAAGCGUGGGGAUCAAACAGGAUUAGAUACCCGGGUAGUC
This 460-nucleotide ribosomal RNA is filed under the name uncultured bacterium. RNAcentral's name for it is "partial 16S ribosomal RNA". It matches the Rfam family "Bacterial small subunit ribosomal RNA", at positions 338 to 795 of the family's 1533-position model. The record is from RNAcentral.